AGUGAACGCUGGCGAUAGGCCUAACACAUGCAAGUCGAACGGCAGCACAGUAAGAGCUUGCUCUUACGGGUGGCGAGUGGCGGACGGGUGAGGAAUACAUCGGAAUCUACUUUUUCGUGGGGGAUAACGUAGGGAAACUUACGCUAAUACCGCAUACGACCUACGGGUGAAAGCAGGGGAUCUUCGGACCUUGCGCGAUUGAAUGAGCCGAUGUCGGAUUAGUUAGUUGGCGGGGUAAAGGCCCACCAAGGCGACGAUCCGUAGCUGGUCUGAGAGGAUGAUCAGCCACACUGGAACUGAGACACGGUCCAGACUCCUACGGGAGGCAGCAGUGGGGAAUAUUGGACAAUGGGCGCAAGCCUGAUCCAGCCAUACCGCGUGGGUGAAGAAGGCCUUCGGGUUGUAAAGCCCUUUUGUUGGGAAAGAAAAGCAGCAGGUUAAGACCCCGCUGUUCUGACGGUACCCAAAGAAUAAGCACCGGCUAACUUCGUG
Molecule: ribosomal RNA, 492 nt
Filed under: uncultured bacterium
Lineage: Bacteria
Description: partial 16S ribosomal RNA
Rfam family: Bacterial small subunit ribosomal RNA
Source: RNAcentral